Molecule: ribosomal RNA, 253 nt
Filed under: uncultured bacterium
Lineage: Bacteria
Description: partial 16S ribosomal RNA
Rfam family: Bacterial small subunit ribosomal RNA
Source: RNAcentral
UACGUAGGGGGCAAGCGUUAUCCGGAAUCAUUGGGCGUAAAGCGCGUGUAGGCGGUUCCGUAAGUCCGCUCUGAAAGCCCAGGGCUCAACCCUGGGAGGCGGGUGGAUACUACGGAACUGGAGUACGGAAGAGGAGAUUGGAAUUCCUGGUGUAGCGGUGAAAUGCGUAGAGAUGUGGAGGAACACCAGUGGCGAAGGCGACUCUUUGGCCUGUAACUGACGCUGAGGAGCGAAAGCGUGGGGAGCGAACAGG